CUGGAGCCAAUUGAGAACAACUUGAACCACUACUGGAGCAACAUCCAUUGUCCGCGCACCGACGGGACGAGCACCUGGAAGAGCGAGUGGCGUAGCUACGGCGUCUGCUCGGGCCUCAAGGAGGUGGACUACUUCAGGGCCGCCCUCAACCUCCGCAAGAACGCCGACGUCCUCGGCGCUCUCGCCGAGCAGGGCAUCAACCCGGACUACAGGCUGUACAGCACGGAGCACAUCAAGUGGGCGGUGAACCAGAAGCUUGGAGUGAUGCCUGGGGUGCAGUGCAGGGACGGGCCGUUCGGUAAGAAGCAGCUCUACCAGAUCUACCUCUGCGUCGACAAGAACGGCGAGGCCUUCAUCGACUGUCCCAAGCUGCCUAAACUGCAGUGCCCUGAGGAGGUCCUCUUCCACCCCUUUCACACGUGGAUGCUCAACGCCACAUCGCCUGCCAAGAUCAUGUUGCCAACCGAGGCCUGAGAGCCACCCGCCCGGCCGGUGCCUCACCUGAGUACGUACUACUGUGGCCUGGAGCAUUAUAUCGUGCUUGUUGCUCCAGUGAAUAAAAAUGGAUGGUUGAAUAAAUAAAAGUGUAUACAUGGUUGGGAGUUGCGACUUGUCAUAAGAACAUGACCGUCAAAUCGCUUCUCUACUAGCUACUAUGUAUAUGCGUAUCUAUAAUAUUUGUAAUACGUAAAGUAUAUGAAUGAACAAUUUUAUUAUGUCAGAUGUUUAAGAAAUUCUUUUAUCUCGAUUCGUUUUGAAAAAAAAAAUUAUGUCUGCUUCUG
This 782-nucleotide long non-coding RNA is filed under the name Triticum aestivum (bread wheat). Its description in RNAcentral is "long non-coding RNA (TAES_LNC017973)". The record is from RNAcentral. Lineage: Eukaryota; Viridiplantae; Streptophyta; Magnoliopsida; Poales; Poaceae.